AGAGUUUGAUCCUGGCUCAGGACGAACGCUGGCGGCGUGCCUAAUACAUGCAAGUCGAACGAAGCUUUCUUUCACCGAAUGCUUGCAUUCACCGAAAGAAGCUUAGUGGCGAACGGGUGAGUAACACGUAGGCAACCUGCCCAAAAGAGGGGGAUAACACUUGGAAACAGGUGCUAAUACCGCAUAACCAUGAACACCGCAUGAUGUUCAUGUAAAAGACGGCUUUUGCUGUCACUUUUGGAUGGGCCUGCGGCGUAUUAACUUGUUGGUGGGGUAACGGCCUACCAAGGUGAUGAUACGUAGCCGAACUGAGAGGUUGAUCGGCCACAUUGGGACUGAGACACGGCCCAAACUCCUACGGGAGGCAGCAGUAGGGAAUCUUCCACAAUGGACGAAAGUCUGAUGGAGCAACGCCGCGUGAAUGAAGAAGGCCUUCGGGUCGUAAAAUUCUGUUGUCAGAGAGGAACGUGCGUGAGAGUAACUGUUCACGUAUUGACGGUAUCUGACCAGAAAGCCACGGCUAACUACGUGCCAGCAGCCGCGGUAAUACGUAGGUGGCAAGCGUUGUCCGGAUUUAUUGGGCGUAAAGGGAACGCAGGCGGUCUUUUAAGUCUGAUGUGAAAGCCUUCGGCUUAACCGAAGUAGUGCAUUGGAAACUGGAAGACUUGAGUGCAGAAGAGGAGAGUGGAACUCCAUGUGUAGCGGUGAAAUGCGUAGAUAUAUGGAAGAACACCAGUGGCGAAAGCGGCUCUCUGGUCUGUAACUGACGCUGAGGUUCGAAAGCGUGGGUAGCAAACAGGAUUAGAUACCCUGGUAGUCCACGCCGUAAACGAUGAGUGCUAAGUGUUGGAGGGUUUCCGCCCUUCAGUGCUGCAGCUA
RNAcentral lists this ribosomal RNA (879 nucleotides) under uncultured bacterium. Its description in RNAcentral is "bacterial SSU rRNA". It matches the Rfam family "Bacterial small subunit ribosomal RNA", at positions 8 to 854 of the family's 1533-position model. The record is from RNAcentral.